This 1738-nucleotide ribosomal RNA is filed under the name Salmonella enterica. Its description in RNAcentral is "partial 23S ribosomal RNA". It matches the Rfam family "Bacterial large subunit ribosomal RNA", at positions 1222 to 2925 of the family's 2925-position model. Lineage: Bacteria; Pseudomonadati; Pseudomonadota; Gammaproteobacteria; Enterobacterales; Enterobacteriaceae. The record is from RNAcentral.
UGUUGGGUAGGGGAGCGUUCUGUAAGCCUGUGAAGGUGUGUCGUGAGGCAUGCUGGAGGUAUCAGAAGUGCGAAUGCUGACAUAAGUAACGAUAAAGCGGGUGAAAAGCCCGCUCGCCGGAAGACCAAGGGUUCCUGUCCAACGUUAAUCGGGGCAGGGUGAGUCGACCCCUAAGGCGAGGCCGAAAGGCGUAGUCGAUGGGAAACGGGUUAAUAUUCCCGUACUUGGUGUUACUGCGAAGGGGGGACGGAGAAGGCUAUGUUGGCCGGGCGACGGUUGUCCCGGUUUAAGCGUGUAGGUGUGUGUUCCAGGUAAAUCCGGUUCACUUUAACACUGAGGCGUGACGACGAGGCACUACGGUGCUGAAGCAACAAAUGCCCUGCUUCCAGGAAAAGCCUCUAAGCAUCAGGUAACAUCAAAUCGUACCCCAAACCGACACAGGUGGUCAGGUAGAGAAUACCAAGGCGCUUGAGAGAACUCGGGUGAAGGAACUAGGCAAAAUGGUGCCGUAACUUCGGGAGAAGGCACGCUGACACGUAGGUGAAGUGAUUUACUCAUGGAGCUGAAGUCAGUCGAAGAUACCAGCUGGCUGCAACUGUUUAUUAAAAACACAGCACUGUGCAAACACGAAAGUGGACGUAUACGGUGUGACGCCUGCCCGGUGCCGGAAGGUUAAUUGAUGGGGUCAGCGCAAGCGAAGCUCCUGAUCGAAGCCCCGGUAAACGGCGGCCGUAACUAUAACGGUCCUAAGGUAGCGAAAUUCCUUGUCGGGUAAGUUCCGACCUGCACGAAUGGCGUAAUGAUGGCCAGGCUGUCUCCACCCGAGACUCAGUGAAAUUGAACUCGCUGUGAAGAUGCAGUGUACCCGCGGCAAGACGGAAAGACCCCGUGAACCUUUACUAUAGCUUGACACUGAACAUUGAGCCUUGAUGUGUAGGAUAGGUGGGAGGCUUUGAAGUGUGGACGCCAGUCUGCAUGGAGCCGACCUUGAAAUACCACCCUUUAAUGUUUGAUGUUCUAACGUGGACCCGUGAUCCGGGUUGCGGACAGUGUCUGGUGGGUAGUUUGACUGGGGCGGUCUCCUCCUAAAGAGUAACGGAGGAGCACGAAGGUUGGCUAAUCCUGGUCGGACAUCAGGAGGUUAGUGCAAUGGCAUAAGCCAGCUUGACUGCGAGCGUGACGGCGCGAGCAGGUGCGAAAGCAGGUCAUAGUGAUCCGGUGGUUCUGAAUGGAAGGGCCAUCGCUCAACGGAUAAAAGGUACUCCGGGGAUAACAGGCUGAUACCGCCCAAGAGUUCAUAUCGACGGCGGUGUUUGGCACCUCGAUGUCGGCUCAUCACAUCCUGGGGCUGAAGUAGGUCCCAAGGGUAUGGCUGUUCGCCAUUUAAAGUGGUACGCGAGCUGGGUUUAGAACGUCGUGAGACAGUUCGGUCCCUAUCUGCCGUGGGCGCUGGAGAACUGAGGGGGGCUGCUCCUAGUACGAGAGGACCGGAGUGGACGCAUCACUGGUGUUCGGGUUGUCAUGCCAAUGGCACUGCCCGGUAGCUAAAUGCGGAAGAGAUAAGUGCUGAAAGCAUCUAAGCACGAAACUUGCCCCGAGAUGAGUUCUCCCUGAGACUUAGAGUCUCCUGAAGGAACGUUGAAGACGACGACGUUGAUAGGCCGGGUGUGUAAGCGCAGCGAUGCGUUGAGCUAACCGGUACUAAUGAACCGUGAGGCUUAACCUUACAACGCCGAAG